GUGGAGAGAGAGGGUGGAGGAGGAGGAGAAGAGAGAGACAGGUGGAGAGAGGAGGAGGAGAAGAGAGAGAGACAGAUGGAGAGAGGGGAGGAGAAGAGAGAGAGACAGGUGGAGAGAGGGGGAGAGAAGAGAGAGAGACAGGUGGAGAGAGGAGGAGAGAAGAGAGAGAGACAGGUGGAGAGAGGGGGAGGAGAAGAGAGAGAGACAGGUGGAGAGAGGGGGAGGAGAAGAGAGAGAGACAGGUGGAGAGAGGAGGAGGAGAGAGAGAGAGAGAGAG
Oncorhynchus tshawytscha (Chinook salmon) is the source of this 277-nucleotide long non-coding RNA. The record is from Ensembl. Lineage: Eukaryota; Metazoa; Chordata; Actinopteri; Salmoniformes; Salmonidae.